Carcharodon carcharias (great white shark) is the source of this 2118-nucleotide long non-coding RNA. RefSeq lists it as uncharacterized. The transcript has 3 exons. Lineage: Eukaryota; Metazoa; Chordata; Chondrichthyes; Lamniformes; Lamnidae. The record is from RefSeq and is a predicted model, not a curated record.
UGGCCGUUCCUCAUCUCAAGCUACUUCAAUGUGCCUCUCUUUAAUUUCUUUCCUUUGAUUUUUUUUAAACUUUGCUUUGCAUUUUCUUCUAACCAUAAAAUGUACAUUUCUUUCUCCUUUUUGCCUUUCUACAAAGUAUCUUUUCACUUAUACCAGGUCUUAAUUCUUUUCAUUUUUGUUAAAUCCCUUUCAUUUUCUAUUUACUGCUUCUUUUGUUCUAUCCAGUAUCACUUUUCAAACAAUAUGUCAACCUUGCUCUCCCUUGUGAAUUAUCAACUGAUAGGGUCUUACAAACUUCUCAGCAAACUUAAAUAUUUUUGCUAGAAAUAUGACAAACUGCUUGUUCCAGGGUUGGUGACCAGCAUGUGAGGAGACCUGAUAGAUGUGUCAAGAACUGGAAUGAGCAUUCAGUCGCUGUGCUAUAAGUACCAGUCUCUGGCACCCAAGACUGAAAUGUGUUGAAUCAUUUAAUUUUAAAACUGAAACUUAAGCAAACUGCAACUCCCUCCACGCUGGAGGGCAUCCUAUUGGCUCCCAACACUCCGUGGAGUCAGGACCUGCAUUCGAACUUGGCUUUAGGAUGUCAACGGAAAGUGCAAUAUACUGCCCCUUGAUUCACCUGACCUGACAGAAAAUAACUUCCACAGAAAUAUAUUUCUUCCCUUUAACAUCUGAUCUCUGUUCAGCCCCCACCCCUCCCCACCGUCCCCCGCACCCCCCAAUUUACUCUUGGACAAUUAAAAUAGCUCGUAGUCACAACAUCGCCUUUUCCCUUGACCCGAUUUGUCUAUCCAAACAUCUAGGAGUUAAAUACUAUUUCUAAGUGCAUAUUCUUUUUUAAAAAAAUGUUACCGUAUUCAUUAUGUGAAAACCUGUUUAUUUUAAGUAUAUAAUGAAGGCAAUUUUCUGUUAAGAGUUUGCGACCCGAUCCUUACUAUGGGAUAUGCUAAUCUUUUAGUUAUUCAUCUAUCUGCAAAAGGCGAGACAGUAAAUAUCAUACUUGAAGCUUUUUCAGCAUUCAAACAUUAUCUCAUUAACAGAUAUAGAAAAGGCUACAGAAUAAAGUAUUCCCAGGGCUUGAAAAUAUACAGGUUUACACUUAAACUUUCCUGGACCCAUGUAUUCUAGUCUAUGGGAUGUAAGUUAUUUCUGUAAUGCACCUGGAAUAUAUUUGAAUGUUGAAAUCAGUGAAACAAGUGAAUUUAAUGCAAAUGAGAUAAACAUCCAAUUUCUGUUUCAAUUCACAUACUGGGGACUUUAUCUGUGUGACGAUGACCCCAGAUAUGUUAGAAAGACUACUGAAGUGGGAAACAGACAUGAUGUUUGCCAAUAGGAUAAUUUUUAUAUUGCAACCUAAUUAAAUGUGUAACAGGAUUAUUUGAGAAGAUGUUAUGUUUUAAUGUAAUAAUGGAAUGGAACAUUCUACUUUAAAUCAAUAUCUCCCUCUACUGGCUGUUAAAAUGUAUAAAAUGGGACAAACGGUAGCUUUUGGGAUUAUGCAAGAACUGCCUCAACUAUAUCUCAGUUUCCUACAAUUUGAAGCAUUAUGUAUGAGGGCAUUUGACUAGCUUUUAGAGUAAAUCCUGCUUAACUUACUAGACAAGCACUGUAUUGCUUGUAUUGUUGUACCGGUCUUACUUUUCCUUUCAGAAGUUAGUUCAUUCUGAUAUCCGGAUGAAAGGGCCAUUCAUUUUGAUGUCAGUGAAGUAUGUGAAAAAUUGAGUGCAACAGUUGACAUUUCCCUAGCUCUGUAAAGGGUUCUCAGUAGAAACAGGAAAAUCAUAAAUAAUACCAAAAAAGACUGUAUAUUUAACACACCAUACCCAUACAGCCAGUGAACAAUUAACUAAUCCAUAAUUCUGUGAACUAUUCUUGCUUUGAGUGACAAAGCUGCAGCUGAAGGCAGAGGCUGAAACAUGGGUGGUGUAAAGCUGGGUAAGAAAAAAAAUAAAUAAACGGGACAAUUUUUGCAAGAAGCAGAAGGUGACUAAGGCAAACAGAAAGCUAGGAAAAUUCUAAGUAACUGCAACAACAAAAAUGACAAAGGGGAAUUUGAAAUACCAAAAAUGGUUCAGACACUGAACAAAGAAAAACAUAAAGUAAACCAAAGAAACAAAG